CACCGCGGUUAUACGUACAGUCCAAGUUGACAGACACCGGCGUAAAGGGUGGUUACGGGACCCCCCCCCGCACUAAAGUCGAACUUCCCCCUACGCUGUUAUACGCAUCCGGGGGCGUGAAGCCCCACCACGAAAGUGACUUUAACCCACCCCGAACCCACUACCGCUAUGAAAA
RNAcentral lists this ribosomal RNA (175 nucleotides) under Gigantura chuni (gigantura). Its description in RNAcentral is "partial 12S rRNA". The record is from RNAcentral. Lineage: Eukaryota; Metazoa; Chordata; Actinopteri; Aulopiformes; Giganturidae.